This 310-nucleotide ribosomal RNA is filed under the name uncultured soil bacterium. Its description in RNAcentral is "bacterial SSU rRNA". It matches the Rfam family "Bacterial small subunit ribosomal RNA", at positions 26 to 363 of the family's 1533-position model. The record is from RNAcentral.
AGAGCGAACGCUGGCGGCAGGCCUAACACAUGCAAGUCGAACGGACCCUUCGGGGUUAGUGGCGGACGGGUGAGUAACACGUGGGAACGUGCCUUUAGGUUCGGAAUAGCUCCUGGAAACGGGUGGUAAUGCCGAAUGUGCCCGUUCGGGGGAAAGAUUUAUCGCCUUUAGAGCGGCCCGCGUCUGAUUAGCUUGUGGUGAGGUAAUGGCUCACCAAGGCUACGAUCAGUAGCUGGUCUGAGAGGAUGACCAGCCACACGUGGGACUGAGACACGGACCCAAACUCCUAGGGACGCAGCAGGUGGGAAUC